RNAcentral lists this long non-coding RNA (220 nucleotides) under Elaeis guineensis (African oil palm). Its description in RNAcentral is "long non-coding RNA (EGUI_LNC018115)". Lineage: Eukaryota; Viridiplantae; Streptophyta; Magnoliopsida; Arecales; Arecaceae. The record is from RNAcentral.
UUCACCGGAAAUUAAAAAAAAAAGAGCCUGAGGAGUAUAAUAUAGUAAAGAAAUUGGAAAGAGUCGGCGAAUUAUAUGGCACCUCUAUAAAUCUAAGUUUGCUCUCGGUUUGGAUGGCUCAUAUUUUUAUAUGUACAUGGAACAACGAAAUGGGAGGGCACCUGAGAGUGUCCAUCAUGCUCCACGCUUUGCACUAAUUUGUCCGUUUCGAAUACACGCC